AGCAGCCGCGGUAAUUCCAGCUCCAAUAGCGUAUAUUAAAGUUGCUGCAGUUAAAAAGCUCGUAGUUGAAUUUCGGGACUAAUAUGUCGGUCGUGCCUCGGUACGUACUGGUAUUUUUGGUUUCUCCCUUCUGACGAACCUUGAUGUCAUUAAUUUGGUGUCUUGGGGAAUCAGGACUGUUAUUUUGAAAAAAUUAGAGUGUUUAAAGCAGGCUCACGCUUGAAUACAUUAGCAUGGAAUAAUGAAAUAGGACGUUUGAUUCUAUUUUGUUGGUUUCUAGGAUUGACGUAAUGAUUAAUAGGGAUAGUUGGGGGCAUUAGUAUUCAAUUGUCAGAGGUGAAAUUCUUGGAUUUAUUGAAGACUAACUACUGCGAAAGCAUUUGCCAAGGAUGUUUUCAUUAAUCAAGAACGAAAGUUAGGGAUCGAAGACGAUCAGAUACCGUCGUAGUCUUAACCAUAAACUAUGACCGACUAGGGAUCGGAUGAUGUUAAUUUUUAUGUACUUCAUUCGGCGCCGUUA
RNAcentral lists this ribosomal RNA (520 nucleotides) under uncultured Glomus. RNAcentral describes it as "SSU rRNA". It matches the Rfam family "Eukaryotic small subunit ribosomal RNA", at positions 569 to 1091 of the family's 1831-position model. The record is from RNAcentral. Lineage: Eukaryota; Fungi; Glomeromycota; Glomeromycetes; Glomerales; Glomeraceae.